GACGAACGCUGGCGGCGUGCUUAACACAUGCAAGUCGAACGGAAAGGCCCUGCUUUUGUGGGGUGCUCGAGUGGCGAACGGGUGAGUAACACGUGAGUAACCUGCCCUUGACCUUGGGAUAACUUCAGGAAACUGGGGCUAAUACCGGAUAGGAGCUCCUGCUGCAUGGUGGGGGUUGGAAAGUUUCGGCGGUUGGGGAUGGACUCGCGGCUUAUCAGCUUGUUGGUGGGGUAGUGGCUUACCAAGGCUUUGACGGGUGGCCGGCCUGAGAGGGUGACCGGCCACAUUGGGACUGAGAUACGGCCCAGACUCCUACGGGAGGCAGCAGUGGGGAAUAUUGCACAAUGGGCGGAAGCCUGAUGCAGCAACGCCGCGUGCGGGAUGACGGCCUUCGGGUUGUAAACCGCUUUCGCCUGUGACGAAGCGUGAGUGACGGUAAUGGGUAAGGAAGCACCGGCUAACUACGUG
Molecule: ribosomal RNA, 468 nt
Filed under: uncultured bacterium
Lineage: Bacteria
Description: partial 16S ribosomal RNA
Rfam family: Bacterial small subunit ribosomal RNA
Source: RNAcentral